UUUAACAUGAGAGUUUGAUCCUGGCUCAGGAUGAACGCUGGCGGCGUGCCUAACACAUGCAAGUCGAACGAGGUAAAUAAGAUGAAGUUUUCGGAUGGAUUCUUAUUUACCGAGUGGCGGACGGGUGAGUAACGCGUGGGUAACCUGCCUCAUA
Molecule: ribosomal RNA, 154 nt
Filed under: Desulfotomaculum sp. OF05-3
Lineage: Bacteria; Bacillati; Bacillota; Clostridia; Eubacteriales; Desulfotomaculaceae
Description: partial 16S ribosomal RNA
Rfam family: Bacterial small subunit ribosomal RNA
Source: RNAcentral